AGCUUCGGCAGGAUUUUUAUUUAUCUUAGUGGCGGACGGGUGAGUAACGUGUGGGCAACCUGCCCUAUACUGGGGAAUAAUCACUGGAAACGGUGACUAAUACCGCAUGUCAUUACGGAAGGGCAUCCUUCUGUAAGAAAAGGAGUAAUUCGGUAUAGGAUGGGCCCGCAUCUGAUUAGCUAGUUGGUGAGAUAACAGCCCACCAAGGCGACGAUCAGUAGCCGACCUGAGAGGGUGAUCGGCCACAUUGGGACUGAGACACGGCCCAAACUCC
RNAcentral lists this ribosomal RNA (274 nucleotides) under uncultured Eubacteriales bacterium. Its description in RNAcentral is "uncultured Clostridiales bacterium partial 16S ribosomal RNA". It matches the Rfam family "Bacterial small subunit ribosomal RNA", at positions 65 to 339 of the family's 1533-position model. Lineage: Bacteria; Bacillati; Bacillota; Clostridia; Eubacteriales. The record is from RNAcentral.